RNAcentral lists this ribosomal RNA (744 nucleotides) under uncultured bacterium. Its description in RNAcentral is "bacterial SSU rRNA". It matches the Rfam family "Bacterial small subunit ribosomal RNA", at positions 8 to 796 of the family's 1533-position model. The record is from RNAcentral.
AGAGUUUGAUCAUGGCUCAGAACGAACGCUGGCGGCAGGCCUAACACAUGCAAGUCGAACGGAUGUAGCAAUACAUUAGUGGCGCACGGGUGCGUAACGCGUGGGAACAUGCCCUUGGGUGCGGGAUAGCUACUGGAAACGGUAAUUAAUACCGCAUAAUGACUUCGGUCCAAAGAUUUAUCGCCCAAGGAUUGGCCCGCGUCUGAUUAGCUAGUUGGUGAGGUAACGGCUCACCAAGGCGACGAUCAGUAGCUGGUCUGAGAGGAUGAUCAGCCACACUGGGACUGAGACACGGCCCAGACUCCUACGGGAGGCAGCAGUGAGGAAUAUUGGACAAUGGGGGCAACCCUGAUCCAGCCAUGCCGCGUGAGUGAAGAAGGCCUUCGGGUUGUAAAGCUCUUUCAGGUGCGACGAUAAUGACGGUACCACCAGAAGAAGCCCCGGCUAAAUUCGUGCCAGCAGCCGCGGUAAUACGAAUGGGGCAAGCGUUGUUCGGAAUCACUGGGCUUAAAGCGUGCGUAGGCGGAUUUGUAAGUCAGAAGUGAAAUCCCCGGGCUCAACCCGGGAAUUGCUUUUGAAACUGCAAAUCUAGAAUCCGGGAGAGGUCAGCAGAAUUCCCAGUGUAGAGGUGAAAUUCGCAGAUAUUGGGAGGAAUACCAGUGGCGUAGGCGGCUGACUGGACCGGUUUUGACGCUGAGGUACGGAAGCGUGGGUAGCAAACAGGAUUAGAUACCCUAGUAGUCC